UAGGUUUUGCUUUGGCCUAAGAUUAAAUUAUAUCUUUUAAGCGCAUGCUAGUUUUAGCCUUCCAACAAGAUUUAAACAAGCUAAAAGCUUUUGUAUUCAUUUUUUUUCUUAGGUGACAAACAUAAAAAAAAAAACUUGUUAAUGCAGUGUAUAUUAUUACUAUAACAGCGAUAGCUGGAGGCAGAAAUAGAUAAUAUAGGUGGAUAAAAAAGUGCCAGCAUCCGCGGUUAUACUUUUACCUAUAGUUUAAUUAAUAGGUUAAGUGGUAAAAUAUACUAGAGUAAAAAAAAUCAGAUAAAAAGUUCAAUUUACCAGAUUUUUUUUUUUUACCUUAUACUCUUUUUUAUACCCCACGAGACUUUCUUAUAGAACUAGGAUUUGGUACCCUACUACUAAUUAGUGUAAAUAAAAAUACCAGGGAAUUACGAGCUACUAGCUUAAAACCCAAAAAGCUUGGCGGUCUUCUUUAAAACCAGGGGAGCUUGUCUUGUAAACGAUAAUCCGCGUUAUAUCUUACCUAUAAUAGUAGUCAGUUUGUAUACCCCCGUCUUGUUAACCACAUAAGUGAAGAAAAGUUAGCUGGGAUAUUUAUAUUAUUAGACGUCAGGUCAAGGUGCAACUUAUAUAUAGGAAACGAUUAGCUACUUUAUUAUUAAUAAAUAGAGAAUUAUAUUAAAAAAAAUUUGAAAUAGUACUUGGAAGUAAUUAAAAAUUAAUAUUUUUUAAUGAAUAACCCUUAGAAGGUGUACAAAUCGCCCGUCGAUCCCCCUGGAUGGGGGAUAAGUCGUAACAUAGUAGGUUUACCUG
This 807-nucleotide non-coding RNA is filed under the name Celleporella hyalina. Lineage: Eukaryota; Metazoa; Bryozoa; Gymnolaemata; Cheilostomatida; Hippothoidae. The record is from RNAcentral.